Molecule: ribosomal RNA, 409 nt
Filed under: Streptococcus mitis
Lineage: Bacteria; Bacillati; Bacillota; Bacilli; Lactobacillales; Streptococcaceae
Description: bacterial SSU rRNA
Rfam family: Bacterial small subunit ribosomal RNA
Source: RNAcentral
GACGAACGCUGGCGGCGUGCCUAAUACAUGCAAGUAGAACGCUGAAGGAGGAGCUUGCUUCUCUGGAUGAGUUGCGAACGGGUGAGUAACGCGUAGGUAACCUGCCUGGUAGCGGGGGAUAACUAUUGGAAACGAUAGCUAAUACCGCAUAAUAGCAGUUAUUGCAUGAUAACUGUUUGAAAGGUGCAAUUGCACCACUACCAGAUGGACCUGCGUUGUAUUAGCUAGUUGGUGGGGUAACGGCUCACCAAGGCGACGAUACAUAGCCGACCUGAGAGGGUGAUCGGCCACACUGGGACUGAGACACGGCCCAGACUCCUACGGGAGGCAGCAGUAGGGAAUCUUCGGCAAUGGACGGGAAGUCUGACCGAGCAAACGCCGCGUGAGUGAAGAAAGGUUUUUCGGAUCG